GGCUACCGCUAUUGGAGUUCGAUUAAGCCAUGCGAGUCUAGAGGCCUAGCCUCGGCGUACCGCUCAGUAACACGUGGGUAACCUACCCUAUGCUGGGGAAUAAGCUCGGGGAACUGAGAAUAAUGCCCCAUAGUCCACUACGCCUGGAACGGUGAGUGAACUAAAGCUCCGGCGGCAUAGGAUGGGCCCGCGGCGUAUCAGGUUGUAGGGGGUGUAAUGUACCCUCUAGCCAUCCACGCGUACGGGUGUUGGGAGACAUUGCCCGGAGAUGGAUUCUGAGACACGAAUCCAGACCCUACGGGGUGCAGCAGGCGCGAAAACUUGGCAAUGCGAGAAAUCGUGACCAGGGAACUCCAAGUGGCAGGGGUAAGACCCUGUCUUUUUCCGACUCUAAAUAGGUCGGCGAAUAAGGGGUGGGUAAGGACGGUGCCAGCCGCCGCGGUAAUACCGGCGCCUCAAGUGGUAGUCGCUUUUAUUGGGCCUAAAACGUCCGUAGCCGGUCUGGUACAUUCGUGGGUAAAUCAACUCGCUCAACGAGUUGAAUUCUGCGAGGACGGCCAGACUUGGGACCGGGAGAGGUGUGGGGUACUCUCAGGGUAGGGGUAAAAUCCUGUCAUCCUGAGAGGACCACCUGUUGCGAAGGCUCCACACUAGAACGGAUCCGACGGUCAGGGACGAAGCCUAGGGGCACGAACCGGAUUAGAUACCCGGGUAGUCCUAGGUGUAAACGCUGUGGACUUGAUGUUGGGGACGCUCCGAGCGUUCUCAGUGUCGAAGCGAAGGUGAUAAGUCCACUGCCUGGGGAGUACGGUCGCAAGGCUGAAACUUAAAGGAAUUGGCGGGGGAGCACCGCAACCUGAGGAUUGUGCGGUUU
RNAcentral lists this ribosomal RNA (874 nucleotides) under uncultured archaeon. RNAcentral's name for it is "bacterial SSU rRNA". It matches the Rfam family "Archaeal small subunit ribosomal RNA", at positions 22 to 903 of the family's 1478-position model. The record is from RNAcentral.